This is a long non-coding RNA of Catharus ustulatus (Swainson's thrush), 2517 nucleotides long. The record is from Ensembl. NCBI's taxonomy places the organism in Eukaryota, Metazoa, Chordata, Aves, Passeriformes, Turdidae.
UGGGUUCAGCAAUGAGCCUGUCUCUCCUUGGACCAAAUUCACAAAGACUGGCUUCCAAAAAGCCCUGGACAACCACAGCUCUUGGUCAAGAGGUGCAAUACUCUGAUACCUCAAACAGGCCUGGACUGCCCUAUUUCAUUGCAGACAGAUGGUUUUGGUCAUGCUUUGGGUUUCUUUUGUAAGACACAAAUUAGAUUCUUACUGAAACAGGCUGGUAAGGCUUCAAAGCAAGAGAGAGAAAAAAAAAAAGAAAGGAAAAAAAAAAGAAAGGAAAUAUUGCCUAGCAAUGAGAAACAGCCAGAGGCUGAGGUAAGAGCACUUACUGUGAAUAAGUGGGUAUUAGUGCCUUCUGUUGACAGAGGCAGCACUAAGAGGGCAUCCUGUCCAGCUGCACAGCCUCUGAUUGCCCAGCAAGCAGCAAUCUCAAAUAAAUAUUUCUAUCUCCUAGGCAAAAAGAUUGCCCUCUUGCCUGCGUGGCAAUGGCUCCAUCUCUGCACUGAGGAUGAUGGCUGGCUGAGGCUACCUCGGGGCACAAACUGCACAGAAACCACACACAAACUGCACAGAAACUGCACAGAAACCACACACAACUGCACACAAACUGCACACAAGCAGCAGCUGGAGCAAGAGCAGAGCACCCUCAGGGAUCUCUCACACCUCAAUGCUGCCACUCAGCCUCAGCAGCAGUGCCCCGGCUAUACAAGGAAGUGUUUGCAGGAUCAGAAUCCAGAACCAUGUCUCAUCAAAUUAUAAUGCUACUGGGAAAGAGCUGCAGGCAAACACGGUGGUAACAUCCUCCAGAAAUUGUCAGCUCUGCUUCAAAGCAUGAGAUCAACAUAACGCCAGUGCAAAUGGAGUUCUUUACCUUCCACUUUCUCAAUCUUGAGGUCACAUCCAGGUGAAGUGUCAUGCUUCUACUGUUGUCUGGAACACCUGAAACCAUCCUUAAAUACUGGGACUGCUGUGGAGUCUCAUGAUAUCCUGCAGAUUCAGAACUAGAAAAGAUACAAAAAUUGUCUGGUCUUUAAUUUAGAAAGGCUAGGAAGAUGAGAAGGGCUUGACUCCCACCUUAAAAUCUGGCAUGGGACUGGGGAAAUAAAUAACUGGUACUAUCCCAGGAGUGACUGGCUGGGAAGGCUGAAGAUGUGAGCUGGGAUGUAAAGUCUACAGGAGAGCUGUGUAUAUUUUCUAGGCACACUGAGAGGAAGGAAUGCUGUGGCUCUGCCCUUCUGGCACUCAGCUGUGCUGCCCACCCCACGUGGGCUUAGUGGGAGGGGAAGGAUGGAGAAGUAGAGCUGCUUCACAUGCUGGGAUCCAUGCAAAAAAGCAGUGCCAAAGCUUUACAGAGAAACUCUGUGCUGCUUCAAACUCAUGUGGGCAGGGGUUUGUCUGAUAUUCAGAAAGUGCAGUUUUAAUUUGAGCUUUUCUUGCUAUGCUAUUAACAGUAUGGAGUACCUGCUUGUGAUUUGGUAGGGUUUCGAUGCAUUUAUGAAACAGUUAAGCCAAGUUUCAAUAUGUCAAAGAAGUGAGAAUGUGAUUUGAUAGAGAACAGUAUUAAAAAAAUAGCCCUUCAGUUUUUAAUUGUAUACUCUGUGAAUUCAGUUUUAGGACAUGCAUUAUGCAGACAGAAAAAUAGGACUUUCAAAUAAAGUGGGAUUUAAAGUGUAUUAUUACCUGAUUUGCAUUUAAAUUAGUGGAAUGCUGUUUGGGAUAUUCUGUAAAGAGCCACUGCUUCCUCUCCUUCAUCCCAGACAAACACCUUUGAAAAAUCAGGCCCUGCAUGCCCUUCAGCCCUUGGCUAGGACAUAACUGGGGGAGCUAUGAGCAAAGGCUGUGAGCUCUAUCAGAACAAAUCACUCAAUAAAGCUUAACUGCAGUUUUACGCGGUAAGGAAGUUUUGCUGUUACAAGGGAAAAAAAGUGGGUUUCAGCACUUUGUUGGUCACUUGUAAGGUGAGAUUGAUGCAACACUUGGCAGCAGCUGCUCCUGGCUCAUUGGAUGCCCUCAGAGGUCAGAGUGCAAGUGCCCAGUGUCGUCACUGGGGACAGACAGUGGCCACACUGUGCCUGGCACUGGCUGCUGUCUCAUCACAGUGGGAUUAAAUUAACUGCUUGUGUGACAGUGGUAUCACCUGUACAAAGUCCACUUAAAUAAUUCAUAGGGUGAGAUGAGUAAAAGAAAUUCUUGAUAGCCCAGACCAUGACCUGCUAGCAAAAAAUUAUUUUGCUAGUGCUUGCUUCCCUCAGCACUUACAUGGGGCAGGGGGUGGCAGCACUUCCAUAGUGAAAAUACUUUCUCCUGUGGGAUGCUUCUGAUGCAUCUCCUCCAUCAUUCCACUUUUCACUUUCCUUCCAUCACCUCUCAUUACACUUGCCUGAAUACUCUUUGAAAGCACAGACUGCCUUUCAACAAACCAAACACACAUAUAACAAAGUUUAGUUGAAUAAUUAAUGGACAAUAUUUUGUCUCUUUAAUGAGAGACCCUUCUGCUUCAAAAGGAACAAGUCUUCACCUUUC